RNAcentral lists this ribosomal RNA (471 nucleotides) under Triticum aestivum (bread wheat). RNAcentral describes it as "partial small subunit ribosomal RNA". Lineage: Eukaryota; Viridiplantae; Streptophyta; Magnoliopsida; Poales; Poaceae. The record is from RNAcentral.
AUGAGCCAUGUGGUGUCCUCGUGUUGGGAACCCGGUGGCAGGUACUCAGCCCGGUCUGCCUAUGCAGCGAAAUUCGCUGGCAGAGAGGUGUCAGCUACGGCGCAGUUUACGUGGAAGUCCAGAGCGCCGCUGCGCUGCCGCUUCUUCCUAUGGCUUGCCAUGAAGAAUAGGUGUUGGACAGCGGAUCAGCUGGCUCGGCGAGGGCUGCCCCACAAUGAUACUUGCCCUUUCUGCGACCAAGAAGAAGAAACCUUGAAUCACAUUGUGCUAACUUGCGUCUUUGCUCGGACAAUCUGGAGAACUAUAUGCACCACGAUAGGCAAGCCUGCAUGGACACCUGCAUGGCACGACACUCUGGCUGUUUGGUGCGCAGAUAAGCCGAAGAACAUGCGCGUCACCAUCUCCUUGUCCUAUGGGAAAUCUAGAAGCAUCGCAACGCCAUUGUAUUUGAUGGCGCCUCUCCCUCAUUAG